AGAGCCGUGCCAUCUGCAGGACAAAGUAGGAGACGGUAAGCUGUAUUUACAGAUUCCUGAGCCAAAGGAAAACUAUACUACAAGGUGUUCCCGCAGCUGGAAACAUCUACUCUCAUACACACACCGGCCUGCAUGGCCCCUGCGACUUUCCAGCACAGGGGCCAGUCAACCCCAGUCAAGAAGAUCCAGCUGAACAGGAAGGUAAGAGGCCCUGGCUAAACAUUAACGGCAGUGACAAUGAAUUAUAUAACCUCUGAAUGUCUGCCUGCGAGAAAACAAGGAGAAGAGGCAGAACACAAACCAGAGUGUUUAAUUCCACCUUUGCCCCUGCCUCUGCCCCACAGAAAGUACGUGUAUUUGCAUGAAAGAGCCUGGCUGGUGGGACCACAGUGUAAGAAGAAAAACAGAAUCUCCUGAAAGGCCGGAGCUGAGAGGCUGGUGAACACUCCUUCCUAUGCCCCGGCCACAGCUCAGGCGGGACAGGUGGCCUGGGCUCCUCCAAAGGAACAGACUCUGCCACUCAUCCGAGAGCCCCGAGCUCCCAGCUGCCAGACCAGAUGCCCGUGUCCUCGCCCCCAGCACCGGCUCACCAGUCAGCCCCGCGGACGUGGGAGGAGGCAGGCCUGCUUACCAGCCAGCGCCAGGACCCCUUCCAAGGGUCUGAGAAGGGAAUCAAGUCCUCACAUGGUCUCCUGGCUGGGAGGGGGUUCUGAGGGCUGCUCGCUAGACCAGCGGCCUGGCCACUGAUGGGCGAGACCCACACCGGAGUCUGGUCACUCAGUCAGGCCAGCACAAGAGACAGCGUCAAGCCCAACUCGCCCCAAGAACUCAGCGCCUGUGCUCCCCAAGAGCAUUGCACUCAACACUCAGGAGCUGACGGUCUGACAAAAACUCAGGCCAUCUGGAAACUCAGGGUCUAGGGUUCUGGCCCACCAGGUGUCUGGUGGGCAGUUCUCAAAUCCACACCCUGAGAAAAGAGCGCGAGGGCAGAGUCCUCCCCAGGAGAUGCGGCAGAGACAGGAAGGGGACUCAACGGUCACGUCCUCCCUGCUGGGCUGACCCACCCACGUGAGGAAUGGAUCCGAGCUCAGCUAUAUCUCUCCUACAGGAGAGAAUGUUCUAUUUGUAGUUUUAACCAACAGAAAGGAAACUCAAAGGACGAACCGAAACCCAAGAGCGAGCCACUGACUGACGUGUCUCCAUCCCUGUGAUGGAUUCUGAGUCCUUGAGCCGCUGCUCCCACCCGGCAGCCCAGGCGGCCCCCCCCGCCAGGAGCCUGAGAGUCACUCAUUCUCUCAGACAGAAUCCUAGACUACGGUGUCGAAGCCACCGGGAUCGUGGGGCACUCACCAUAGCAAGGCUGCUGCAUCCUGCCUCCGAGUCCAAUAGCUGUGAGCCUGGCCAAGGCUCGCGGCCCCUCGUGGAUGCUGAGGCCCUUCUUCCGACAGGGCCUCUGUCUCUGAGGGACAGGGCAAGAUUCAUCUGAAGAGCUCAGAUCUUCGUAUUUUUCUGUGGGUCAAACACCAAAAUUUAGACAGUAUGUUCAGUGAUGGACUAAUUUAGUAAUCCUCAUAAUGAACUGAAAUAAAGAUCAUUGU
This is a long non-coding RNA of Eubalaena glacialis (North Atlantic right whale), 1598 nucleotides long. RefSeq lists it as uncharacterized. The transcript is spliced from 3 exons. Lineage: Eukaryota; Metazoa; Chordata; Mammalia; Artiodactyla; Balaenidae. The record is from RefSeq and is a predicted model, not a curated record.